This 253-nucleotide ribosomal RNA is filed under the name uncultured bacterium. RNAcentral's name for it is "partial 16S ribosomal RNA". It matches the Rfam family "Archaeal small subunit ribosomal RNA", at positions 474 to 727 of the family's 1478-position model. The record is from RNAcentral.
UACCAGCACCCCGAGUGGUCGGGACGUUUAUUGGGCCUAAAGCAUCCGUAGCCGGUUCUACAAGUCUUCCGUUAAAUCCAACUGCUUAACAGGUGGGCUGCGGAAGAUACUAUAGAGCUAGGGGGCGGGAGAGGCAAGCGGUACUCGAUGGGUAGGGGUAAAAUCCGUUGAUCCAUUGAAGACCACCAGUGGCGAAGGCGGCUUGCCAGAACGCGCUCGACGGUGAGGGAUGAAAGUUGGGGGAGCAAACCGG